UGACCACAUUGUGGUCAAAGGGGGUACUGUAUGCAGCAUCAUAAAAUCCUGUAAUCAAGAUUCAAGCUCUGCUGCCAUCUUGCGUCUCUAGUUAUCAAGUACAGCCCAGAUACAUCCCCCCCUUUUACCGCCGCAACGUCACCCUGGUAGCGCGGCGGCAAUUCUGUUAAAUGAAACGCGUACCAUCUGAAGAAGCAAAUGGAUGA
This is a long non-coding RNA of Sebastes umbrosus (honeycomb rockfish), 206 nucleotides long. RefSeq lists it as uncharacterized. The record is from RefSeq and is a predicted model, not a curated record. The transcript is spliced from 3 exons. Lineage: Eukaryota; Metazoa; Chordata; Actinopteri; Perciformes; Sebastidae.